GGAUGAACGCUAGCGACAGGCUAACACAUGCAAGUCAGGGGCAGCACAAGGAGCAAUCUGAGGUGGCGACCGGCGCACGGGUGAGUAACACGUAUGCAACCUGCCUGUAAGCGGGGAAUAACCCGUUGAAAGACGGACUAAUACCGCAUAAUACUAAAUUACUGCAUGGUAAUUUAUUUAAACAUUUAUGGCUUACAGAUGGGCAUGCGCAUGAUUAGCUAGUUGGAGAGGUAACGGCUCCCCAAGGCAACGAUCAUUAGGGGUUCUGAGAGGAAGGUCCCCCCACACUGGUAUUGAGACACGGACCAGACUCCUACGGGAGGCAGCAGUGAGGAAUAUUGGUCAAUGGACGAGAGUCCGAACCAGCCAAGUCGCGUGCAGGAAGAAUUGUCCUAUGGAUUGUAAACUGCUUUUGCAGGGGAAUAAAGUGCAUCACGUGUGAUGUUUUGUAUGUACUCUGCGAAUAAGGAUCGGCUAACUCCGUGCCAGCAGCCGC
Molecule: ribosomal RNA, 496 nt
Filed under: uncultured bacterium
Lineage: Bacteria
Description: bacterial SSU rRNA
Rfam family: Bacterial small subunit ribosomal RNA
Source: RNAcentral